AUUGAACGCUGGCGGUAUGCUUAACACAUGCAAGUCGAACGAUGAGAAAGAGCUUGCUCUUUCGAUUAGUGGCGGACGGGUGCGUAACGCGUAGGAAUCUACCUAUUAGUGGGGGACAACUUAGGGAAACUUAAGCUAAUACCGCAUACGCCCUACGGGGGAAAGAAGGGGAUCGCAAGACCUUUUGCUAAUAGAUGAGCCUGCGUAGGAUUAGCUAGUUGGUGGGGUAAAAGCUCACCAAGGCGACGAUCCUUAACUGGUUUGAGAGAAUGAUCAGUCAGACUGGAACGGAGACACGGUACAGACUCCUACGGGAGGCAGCAGUGGGGAAUAUUGGACAAUGGGCGAAAGCCUGAUCCAGCAAUACCGCGUGUGUGAAGAAGGCCUUAGGGUUGUAAAGCACUUUCAAUUGGAAGGAAAACCUCGAAGCUAAUACCUUCGAGUUUGACAUUACCUUUAGAAGAAGCACCGGCUAACUCCGUGCCAGCCGCCGCCAGCG
Molecule: ribosomal RNA, 499 nt
Filed under: uncultured bacterium
Lineage: Bacteria
Description: partial 16S ribosomal RNA
Rfam family: Bacterial small subunit ribosomal RNA
Source: RNAcentral